GGGGUUGUAGUUCAGUGGUGGAGUGCUUGCCUCGCAUGUAUGAGGCACUGUGUUUGAUUCUCAGCACCACA
This 71-nucleotide transfer RNA is filed under the name Marmota monax (woodchuck). RNAcentral's name for it is "tRNA.Ala". Lineage: Eukaryota; Metazoa; Chordata; Mammalia; Rodentia; Sciuridae. The record is from RNAcentral.